Molecule: ribosomal RNA, 1162 nt
Filed under: Microbacterium foliorum
Lineage: Bacteria; Bacillati; Actinomycetota; Actinomycetes; Micrococcales; Microbacteriaceae
Description: bacterial SSU rRNA
Rfam family: Bacterial small subunit ribosomal RNA
Source: RNAcentral
GUAAGCCGGUCUGAGAGGGUAACGGACUCACUUUGGACUGAGAUCCGUCCAGACUCCUAACGGGAGGCAGUCAGUGGGGGAUUUGCACAAUCGGCGCAAGCCUUGAUGCAGCAUCGUCCGCGUGAGGGAACGACGUCUUUCGGGCUUGUAAACCUUCUUUUAGCAGGGAAGAAGCGAAAGUGACGGUACCUGCAGAAAAAGCGCCGGCUAACUACGUGCCAGCAGCCGCGGUAAUACGUAGGGCGCAAGCGUUAUCCGGAAAUUAUUGGGCGUAAAGAGCUCGUAGGCGGUUUGUCGCGUCUGCUGUGAAAUCCGGAGGCUCAACCUCCGGCCUGCAGUGGGUACGGGCAGACUAGAGUGCGGUAGGGGAGAUUGGAAUUCCUGGUGUAGCGGUGGAAUGCGCAGAUAUCAGGAGGAACACCGAUGGCGAAGGCAGAUCUCUGGGCCGUAACUGACGCUGAGGAGCGAAAGGGUGGGGAGCAAACAGGCUUAGAUACCCUGGUAGUCCACCCCGUAAACGUUGGGAACUAGUUGUGGGGUCCAUUCCACGGAUUCCGUGACGCAGCUAACGCAUUAAGUUCCCCGCCUGGGGAGUACGGCCGCAAGGCUAAAACUCAAAGGAAUUGACGGGGACCCGCACAAGCGGCGGAGCAUGCGGAUUAAUUCGAUGCAACGCGAAGAACCUUACCAAGGCUUGACAUAUACGAGAACGGGCCAGAAAUGGUCAACUCUUUGGACACUCGUAAACAGGUGGUGCAUGGUUGUCGUCAGCUCGUGUCGUGAGAUGUUGGGUUAAGUCCCGCAACGAGCGCAACCCUCGUUCUAUGUUGCCAGCACGUAAUGGUGGGAACUCAUGGGAUACUGCCGGGGUCAACUCGGAGGAAGGUGGGGAUGACGUCAAAUCAUCAUGCCCCUUAUGUCUUGGGCUUCACGCAUGCUACAAUGGCCGGUACAAAGGGCUGCAAUACCGCGAGGUGGAGCGAAUCCCAAAAAGCCGGUCCCAGUUCGGAUUGAGGUCUGCAACUCGACCUCAUGAAGUCGGAGUCGCUAGUAAUCGCAGAUCAGCAACGCUGCGGUGAAUACGUUCCCGGGUCUUGUACACACCGCCCGUCAAGUCAUGAAAGUCUGGUAACACCUGCAAGCCGGUGGCCUAACCCUGUGA